Long non-coding RNA from Xenopus laevis (African clawed frog), 2211 nucleotides. RefSeq lists it as uncharacterized. The transcript is spliced from 3 exons. The record is from RefSeq and is a predicted model, not a curated record. Lineage: Eukaryota; Metazoa; Chordata; Amphibia; Anura; Pipidae.
UGUUCUAUUUCCACAGACAGUGGGAUUUAAGGAGGAGGUGACUGGCUUCAGUUUCUGCUUCUGGCUGCCCACAGAAUACAAUGGAACAACGAGAGGAGGGAAGCGUAGGGAUUGGAUUGAAAAGACACAAGAAAAGCUGCAGAACAGCUGAGUGGCAUGCAAAGACAAAUUGCAGCUCAUAGAACUGUUGCCAACCUUUGUCACUCUUACAAUGACCUCCUCUCCCUUUGCAAAUGAUGGUUGGCAAUAGUGUUAAUUGCAGUAGAUUUACACUAUUUCCCUGCAAUGUGGGAGGCAAAGACAAAGCUGCUUAGCAGCAUCCUGAUGGAUAUUCACUGACAUUUGCAGUCUGUUGCUAUGGUCGCCCAGGGACUUUUGUUUAGAAGUGGUAUUUUUUUUUUCAUGCAGAUGACGUCAUGGAUGUCCAUGGAUGUGACAGGCCACCCUUAGGGUUGGAGGUUUUAAAGAGACAGCCUCCAGCUGCAACACUAGCUCUGGCUAUUGUCUGAGAAGCUGAUAUAAAAAUGGGGGGACAGUCUCUUCACCUAGCACAGUCUCAGCGAAGCUCCUUACUUAGCACUACCUUCAUGUGCAGUGAGAGGGUAGCGUGCCAUAAAAGCCAGCUGUCUGUGUACAGAAGAUCAUUUCUCUCUGCACCUCCUCUCAUCAUACAGCAGCAUGUGAAAUUCUCUUCCUUAAAGCUUCACAGAGCAGCCAAUAGAAUACGAUCGCUGUCGGGUAGAGAUGGCAUCUUGUAACUUUAAAGAAGCAAACAGACUCUCUGUAAAAUAGAAAGAUUAUUUAGAAAAGGUAUUGCCAAGAGACAAACCGCUAGCAAGAUUGCAAUGGCUGACUAUGGAACAUGAAGGGGACUGGAACCAGUGUUCAAUGCGAAACUCUUUGUAAGGUGCUCCAUAAGCUUCAAAAAACCCAUGGGCAGAGCAGCGGAUUAUGCUGAUCAGGACCAGCUACUAAAAAGGAAAGAGAGGUUCAUGACUGAAUCAGAAACAGCUGUAUCCUUGGCAUCAUUGUGUUCUCUAUUGUCACUUGUUCCUAUCUUAAGGUUAUAGUCUAGUUAGAUGCAUAUUUUAAAGUCAUUGAAUGUAUGGAGCUAUCUCUAUGGGGAAGGGAGCAAAGGAAGGCACCUGGUAAUAUACAGACAAAUAUGCAUACGCUCAAUCGUGGACCCCAAAUGUAUCUAAGCACAUUCCUGUUGAAAGGCUUUCAUAGAUGUUUCUUCUAACUGAUUAUACUGAACUCAUCUCUAGCAUUUGCAUAGGUGAGCAUUUAGGAAAUACUGAUCAUAACAUGGUCUCCUUUGACAUCAUGUUACAGAGUCAACUCUUUAAUGGAGUAACUAAAACACUUAAUUUGAGAUAUGCAAACUAAACUAGAGAAGGAAAAGGUUAUUACAGUGAGGUAUAAAAUAAAUACAAAAUUGCUUUUUAAAUAUGUAAAUAGUAUAAAAAUAAAGCAAAAAGUAAUUGUGUCCUUAUUAUCAGAGGGAGGUCAUUUUGUUGAUGAGAGCAGGGAAAAAGCAGAGAUUCUGAAUUGUUAUUGUCUACACAACUGAGAAAUCAACUAAUGAAGGCUUCCUUUAUUAAUAGACCAAAUUCUAAUAAAAUAAGUAUUAAUAGAUAGGUCACUCCGGAGGAAUUUCAAAAGAGAGCACUAAACAAGCUUAGCUCUGUGACUGCCAAACCUCUUUGUUUAAUUUGUCAGGAUUCAAUGAGUUCUGGCAUGGUGCCAAGAGAUUGGUGAAUUGCUUAUGUGGUGAUGCUAUUCAAAAAGGUAUCCCAUUCUACGCCUGAAAACUAUAGGCCUGUUAGUCUGACAUCAGUGGCAGGAAAGCUUUUGUAAGGGGUAAUAAAGGAUAAAAUACUUGACUACAUUACAAAUCAUAAUACUAUAAGUUUGUACCAACAUGGUGUUAUGCAUUACAGAUCUUGACAGACUAUUUUAAUUGCAUUUUAUUAGAAGGUGAGCAGAAACCUCUGGGAUAGCGGAGAAUGUAAUCUAUUUAGACUUUGCUAAACCAUUUGAUACAGUACCACGCAGAAGGUUAAUGGUUAAAUUAAGGAAUAUUGGCCUGGAGCAUAUUUGUACAUAGAUAGAGAACUGGAUAAUGUAUAGAUUACAAAGAGUAGUUGUAAAGGGAACAUUUUCUAAUUUGACAAGUGUUGUCAGUUUAAUACCACAGGGGUCUGUUUU